CCUCGAAACUUGGCAAGUUGCCAGAUCAGAGGUUUCCUUCGAGGAGUUUAUAUUCGCUAACGGAGUUUCCUUUUACCUGUGGUUGAGCGCGGACUUCUGGAAUCCUGAGAUUCAUAUAUGCAUGACAUGGUGCAGGAUAUGAUGGAGUGCAUAUUCAUAAUAUACAGGGGCAACCACAGAUAAUACGCAGGUACAAGAAAUGUAUUUAAAGAAGUGAACGUUUGAGUGCAACUUUUGUUCUGAUGUGGAGUAGUCAAUGACAAACCAGUCGCCUGUUAAUGCUAUCAGAGCCAACUCCUGAAACACUCUACGAGUCACCGAGACAAAUGUAAUUUAAUAACAUAUCCUAAAUGCAAAUAAAAAAAGGAGUUUGACUGCAGUUUUUGGAUAUAUAGUAUGUUUGGGAGACAGACACUGAAAGGCUUAAUUUCUUUGCAGUUUCUAGAUGUAAACGUGAUGAAAAUAUGAAGUGUUUCUGAAACUAUUCUUCAGGAAAUGUUAAUCUGUUUAUAAAUCAGUGCCUAGGAGGAUUUUGUCUUAGUACGAGAGAUCAUAAAUGUGAUUUUACCACCA
Molecule: non-coding RNA, 573 nt
Organism: Zootermopsis nevadensis
Lineage: Eukaryota; Metazoa; Arthropoda; Insecta; Blattodea; Termopsidae
Source: RefSeq, a predicted model, not a curated record